RNAcentral lists this ribosomal RNA (273 nucleotides) under uncultured bacterium. Its description in RNAcentral is "partial 16S ribosomal RNA". It matches the Rfam family "Bacterial small subunit ribosomal RNA", at positions 85 to 354 of the family's 1533-position model. The record is from RNAcentral.
CCGCCGGCGACCGGCGCACGGGUGAGUAACGCGUAUGCAACCUGCCCGUUUCAGCGGGAUAACCCGGAGAAAUCCGGCCUAAUACCGCAUGUGGCCGAGGGGAGGCAUCUUCUUUCGGCCAAAGGAGGCGACUCCGGAGACGGAUGGGCAUGCGUGACAUUAGCUUGUCGGCGGGGUAACGGCCCACCAAGGCGACGAUGUCUAGGGGUUCUGAGAGGAAGGUCCCCCACACUGGUACUGAGACACGGACCAGACUCCUACGGGAGGCAGCAG